Long non-coding RNA from Prosopis cineraria, 2037 nucleotides. RefSeq lists it as uncharacterized. The record is from RefSeq and is a predicted model, not a curated record. The transcript has 3 exons. NCBI's taxonomy places the organism in Eukaryota, Viridiplantae, Streptophyta, Magnoliopsida, Fabales, Fabaceae.
GCAGCAGAGAGAGAGAGAGUGUGUGUGUGAUGGAUGCUCUGAGAUUUCAUUCCUUCUUCCUCCUUCGAACCUUCGCAGUUUUUCCUUCUGUUUUCAUCGUUGUUGUCGCUAGCGUGAGUAACCACCCUUGCUUCAAUCGUCCGAAGUUGACAAGUCCUUAAGUUUGUCUGUUGCUGCUGCGCGUCUGCAAGAUCUCUUCGUUCUUCCCGUUUCCAGCUCAUAUCUACUGUGAUUUGUUGAGCCGCUACUCUUCUAUUACCGUUGUUGGAGGCUUGGUUGAUCAGAAAUUUUAGUUUUGCUCCCCCAUUCGUCCGUGCGUUACUGUAGAUGUUGCUGUAAGUGUCUGGAAAUCUUUAUCUUCCUCUGCUGGUGCGUGUAGGAAUUUUCAGGAUAUUUGGAGGAGGAGAAAUUUGAUCAACAGUGAGAGGUGAAUUUUAAUUCUGGGAAUUUUAGAUUUGUUAACUGACGCCGAUUCCACCAUUGACUCUGAAGGGCAAACUAGCUACAGUGGGUGGAAAUUUUUGAUUGGUACUGUUACUUUUAAUGUAAAUAUAUAAUUUGUAUGUCUUUUUGAUUUUUUUUUAAAAAAGAGUAGAUGCUCCACAUAGAUUGUUGUUAGGAUUUUAUUUUGAUUUAUAUAGUGUUGCUGGCUGGAAGGAGCUAAGCUCCUGAUUGAUGCUGUUUUCUGAAAAAAAAAAAAAUUUUGUUAUAGAACUUUUGGGAGAUCGUAUUUCCAGGGAAGGUUCUGUCGAAAUUUCAAAAAAAAAUGUUGAAGUCUUAUUAUGACAAUUAAUAGUAGCAUUAGAAUUUUUAUACAAUCUGGUUAUUUUUAAAAUGAAAGAAAUUUUUAUUUUAAGGCUUACGGGAAUGCAUGAUAUAGUUCGCACCCGUGCCAGUCACUCUUUAUUUUCAGGGUGUGACAUUAUCCAUCGCCUAUUGCCCAUUCUUCAUGAAGGGUCUACAUAUCACAUCCAAUACUUUGAAGUCAAAUGGGCUAGAAAUCCUGUAUCCACUAAGUACUUCGUUAUUAUACAACUUGAUACAUAUUUUAGUAAGUCACCAAUCAUGGUCCCCUCGCCUACUAUAAAGUUGAUUCCCCUCCCAUUUUUAAUAGAUCCUCGUAGGUCUGAAAAAUAACUUUUCAGUAAGUAAAACUUUUUUCAUUGUUAUUGUAAACAUCAUUAUUCAUUCUAAAGUUAUGUCUUUCAAAUGUUAUCUAUUUAACCAUAUGCUCAUUAGUUUUUCUUAUUAUUUUCAAAUGUUGCUGAAUUGAUUACUUGUGUUGGUCCCCUCAUCAAGGAAGAAGAUAAUGGCUUUGUGCAUUGGAAAUUCUCCUUCAUAUUAAAGGACACAUGGUUUGCUUUGUUCAACUUCAUCUUCCUAUAACUAAAUAACUUUACUUUGUCACCAUUUUAUUGUGAUUUUAUUCUUAUAGGUGAAUAAUUUCCAAUCAAUAUCUUAUUUACACUGGUAAUCAUCUAAAUUGUUUACUUGAGGAUGGUCUGGCUUAGGGUGUAUAUAAUGAUUAUCUUCUAGAGAUUGAGAAAAAAGAUUCAGUUGCUAUAUUUGAAUUUGCUAAGUUGGUGGGGAAGAAUGGUCAGUCACAAUUUUUCUUAUGAUUCUUUUCCAUUCCAUUAUUUUAAUUAUGGUUUUAUAGUAAGAUUUAUCAUUUCAUUCACUCUAAAUGCAGAUGACAAGGUGAUAAUGAACCAUUAUAAUGCUAUCAGGGUGAAGUACAACCAUGAUCAUAAAUUUGUCUAGUUCUUCAAAGAUUGUUUAAAAAGGCAAACGUCUUUGAUUGACCUAGAUCACCCUUCUUCAUCAAGAAUUAAAAGUUAGGAUAUUUUCAUCAGUACCCAAUCGUCUCAUGUAGAAGGCUUCUUUUGUUUUUCAUCCUCUAUGUUUCACUUUGCUAAAUCUGUAAUCUUGCUUCUAAAGUUGACAGUUAUAAUUUAAGCUCUGUUUUCUUUUGGUUGGGCUAUGCAUGAUCAUGUUGGCCCCACAUUAAGUUUUUAUCUAUCAUGCUCAAUACAUUCU